RNAcentral lists this ribosomal RNA (492 nucleotides) under uncultured bacterium. RNAcentral's name for it is "partial 16S ribosomal RNA". It matches the Rfam family "Bacterial small subunit ribosomal RNA", at positions 29 to 507 of the family's 1533-position model. The record is from RNAcentral.
AGUGAACGCUGGCGGUAGGCCUAACACAUGCAAGUCGAACGGCAGCACAGUAAGAGCUUGCUCUUACGGGUGGCGAGUGGCGGACGGGUGAGGAAUACAUCGGAAUCUACUUUUUCGUGGGGGAUAACGUAGGGAAACUUACGCUCAUACCGCAUACGACCUACGGGUGAAAGCAGGGGAUCUUCGGACCUUGCGCGAUUGAAUGAGCCGAUGUCGGAUUAGCUAGUUGGCGGGGUAAAGGCCCACCAAGGCGACGAUCCGUAGCUGGUCUGAGAGGAUGAUCGGCCACACUGGAACUGAGACACGGUCCAGACUCCUACGGGAGGCAGCAGUGGGGAAUAUGGGACAAUGGGCGCAAGCCUGAUCCAGCCAUACCGCGUGGGUGAAGAAGGCCUUCGGGUUGUAAAGCCCUUUUGUUGGGAAAGAAAAGCAGCAGGUUAAUACCCCGCUGUUCUGACGGUACCCAAUGAAUAAGCACCGGCUAACUUCGUG